RNAcentral lists this ribosomal RNA (433 nucleotides) under uncultured bacterium. RNAcentral describes it as "partial 16S ribosomal RNA". It matches the Rfam family "Bacterial small subunit ribosomal RNA", at positions 29 to 507 of the family's 1533-position model. The record is from RNAcentral.
AACGAACGCUGGCGGCAUGCCUAACACAUGCAAGUCGAACGAGACCUUCGGGUCUAGUGGCGCACGGGUGCGUAACGCGUGGGAACCUGCCCUUAGGUUCGGAAUAACUCCCCGAAAGGGGUGCUAAUACCGGAUAAUGUAUUCGGAUCAAAGAUUUAUCGUCUUUGGAUGGGCCCGCGUUGGAUUAGCCAGUUGGUAGGGUAAAAGCCUACCAAGGCGACGAUCCAUAGCUGGUCUGAGAGGAUGAUCAGCCACACUGGGACUGAGACACGGCCCAGACUCCUACGGGAGGCAGCAGUGGGGAAUAUUGGACAAUGGGCGAAAGCCUGAUCCAGCAAUGCCGCGUGAGUGAUGAAGGCCUUAGGGUUGUAAAGCUCUUUUACCCGGGAUGAUAAUGACAGUACCGGGAGAAUAAGCUCCGGCUAACUCCGUG